Podarcis lilfordi (Lilford's wall lizard) is the source of this 93-nucleotide non-coding RNA. NCBI's taxonomy places the organism in Eukaryota, Metazoa, Chordata, Lepidosauria, Squamata, Lacertidae. The record is from the annotation of a GenBank genome assembly.
AGUUUUAAUCUAGUUUGUGUGUGUGUGUGUGUGUGUGUGUGUGUGUAUAUAUAUACACACACACACACACACACACACACAUACAUACAUACA